This 490-nucleotide ribosomal RNA is filed under the name uncultured bacterium. RNAcentral's name for it is "partial 16S ribosomal RNA". It matches the Rfam family "Bacterial small subunit ribosomal RNA", at positions 30 to 507 of the family's 1533-position model. The record is from RNAcentral.
AUUGAACGCUGGCGGCAGGCUUUACACAUGCAAGUCGAACGGUAGCAGGAGAAAGCUUGCUUUCUUGCUGACGAGUGGCGGACGGGUGAGUCAUGCUUGGGAAUCUGGCUUAUGGAGGGGGAUAACUACGGGAAACUGUAGCUAAUACCGCGUAAUAUCGAAAGAUUAAAGUGUGGGACCUUCGGGCCACAUGCCAUAAGAUGAGCCCAAGUGGGAUUAGGUAGUUGGUGGGGUAAAGGCCUACCAAGCCGACGAUCUCUAGCUGGUCUGAGAGGAUGACCAGCCACACUGGAACUGAGACACGGUCCAGACUCCUACGGGAGGCAGCAGUGGGGAAUAUUGCGCAAUGGGGGGAACCCUGACGCAGCCAUGCCGCGUGAAUGAAGAAGGCCUUCGGGUUGUAAAGUUCUUUCGGUAUUGAGGAAGGGAUGUGUGCUAAUAGUGCACGUCAUUGACGUUAAAUACAGAAGAAGCACCGGCUAACUCCGUG